GAUGAACGCUGGCGGCGUGCUUAACACAUGCAAGUCGAACGAUGAAGCCCAGCUUGCUGGGUGGAUUAGUUGCGAACGGGUGAGUAACACGUGAGUAACCUGCCCUUAACUCUGGGAUAAGCCUGGUCAACUGGGUCUAAUACCGGAUAGGAGCGCCUACCGCAUGGUGGGUGUUGGAAAGAUUUAUCGGUUUUGGAUGGACUCGCGGCCUAUCAGCUUGUUGGUGAGGUAAUGGCUCACCAAGGCGAAGACGGGUAGCCGGCCUGUGAGGGUGACCGGCCACCAUGGGACUGAGACACGGCCCAGACUCCUACGGGAGGCAGCAGUGGGGAAUAUUGCACAAUGGGCGAAAGCCUGAUGCAGAGACGCCGCGUGAGGGAUGACGGCCUUCGGGUUGUAAACCUCUUUCAGUAGGGAAGAAGAGAAAGUGACGGUACCUGAAGAAGAAGCACCGGCUAACUACGUG
This 466-nucleotide ribosomal RNA is filed under the name uncultured bacterium. RNAcentral's name for it is "partial 16S ribosomal RNA". It matches the Rfam family "Bacterial small subunit ribosomal RNA", at positions 28 to 507 of the family's 1533-position model. The record is from RNAcentral.